UAACUUGGUGCUCAUUCUCUUCUUUCUCCAGGAUUUAUUUCUCAUUCCUUCUCCCUCAUGGAGUUGAAGUUCAUUUAUCACCAUGUGCUCCCUGAUCUGUCAGGAAAGGUCUUGGUUGACGUUGGUUCCAGACUUGGCACAGUCCUUUAUGGGGUAAAGUGCAGCUUGUGGACAUACUCAACAUGUGGAAAAUACUUUCUCCUGCUAGCGACAGCUUUGCCUGCCACCGUCCAAGGUGACAGCUUGGCUUUAUUAUUAAAGUAACAGGAUAAGGUUAAAAUACGGUCCAUUGGCAGGCUCCUAAGUACUACUUGAUGGCAAUAAUUGGGUUUGGAAUUUCAAAGACAGAACCAGCUGCCCAGUUUCUUCUUCUCCUGGUUUGUCUCCACAACACAGAUGACAAAUAUAAACAGAAUAGACCAUGUAGCUGACACUCCUCUCCUCCCCCAACUCACUACCCCCUCUGUUUUUUGUUUUGUUUUGUUUUGCAGUGGGGAAGGGGGUGUUUCUAAUAUGACCUCAAACUAGCUAUGUAGAUGAGGAUAGUCUUAAACCCUUACCCUCCUGCCUCAGCCCACUAAGCACUGUGAUUGAGGAUAAGAACUCACAAAAAGAGCGCUUGCCUAGGAAGCGCAAGCAUGGGUUCGGUCCCCAGCUCCAAAAAAAA
This 667-nucleotide long non-coding RNA is filed under the name Rattus norvegicus (Norway rat). RNAcentral's name for it is "long non-coding RNA NONRATT025018". Lineage: Eukaryota; Metazoa; Chordata; Mammalia; Rodentia; Muridae. The record is from RNAcentral.